AAAAAUAAAAAUAAAAAUACAGUAGAUUGGCAGCUAAGCUUCCCUCCCGAUAAAAACAUUCGAGCAGCUUUCUCUCAACUGAUAUCAACUUCCAUUCCCCCGUACCCCAAAAAAACUAACCUUUGUCAUCUACACUGUUGUUUGAUCUCUCUCUCUCUCUCUCUCUCUGGGUUUCCUUUUAUUACAGGGUAAUCACUGUGUGCCAAAUGCCUUUUGAUCUAAACGAAAAACAUUUAUCAAUGUUUUGGUUUUGCUUCAAGAAGUCGGGGAGGCUAUUGUGCUUGCGGAAGAUCUUGUUUUGGGAAUGGACAUGACAAUUUGCAGUUUUCUUUUUGUGGAAAGCUCAAUUCUCAUUGCAUUCUAAGAAGGUUAAGAAAUUGUUUCUGUGAAGGAAGGCCCUUUGGCACUCUACUUUGAAUUAAUUGAUGGGGACAAUGUCACAUCGGCAGCCGGGAUACCGAUUUCAUCCUACUGAUAUUGAGCUGGUUGUUUUUUAUUUGAAGUUGAAAUUUAGUAUGAUAAGUUUUCAUCCUCAAGAAAUUGCAGAGGUUAACAUCUACAAGUUUGCCCCAUGGGAACUUCCAGAAAAAUCCAUUUCGCAAAGUGGUGAUCUGAAAUGGUACUUCUUUUGCCCAGUCGAGAAAAAAUAUGCAAAUGGGCUUAGAAUGAAUCGCAAAACUGAAUUUGGGUACUGGAAAAGCACCGGAAAGUGUAAACUUGUUCGUCACAACGAAGUGCUGGUGGGCUCAAGAAAAACAUUGAUUUUUCACAGGACAAGUGAAAAACAAAGGGCACGAACAGAUUGGGUUAUGCAUGAGUACAGUCUUGAGUAUAAGAAUCUGGCUAAGGAAAAAGAUGUUCAGAACAAAUAUGUGCUUUGUAAAAUUUUCCAGAAGGAGGGCCGAGGCCCAAGAAAUGGUGCCCAAUACGGAGCACCUUUUAAAGAAGAAGAUUGGAGUGGUUGGAGUGAUGUUAGUGGUGUUGAGGUGGCUGACUGUGCAGAAGAUGUUACCUUGGCUACAUCGUCUACCCCAACUUUUAUGCUGCCUAAUAACAACAUCAAUUCAGCUGCUAUUGGCACCACAUCAUUGGGUGGCACGAUAUCUGAGUCAUGUCUAUCUUUGACUGUGCCAUCACAGUGCGAGGGGGUUUCUGAUGUUCCUCAUAAUAAUGUCACGAGUCAGUUGUAUCAAGCUCUGCCAGGUGAUAUUCUUCCAACAGUGCUUCCUGAUAAUGAGGAUGAGAUUAGUUCAAUGUUUGAUUACUACCUCGCAGAGGGAAACACUGUGAUUUUGUCCGGAGAUGAAAAUAAUAAGAAUCUCAGUAGUGAUGAAAUUGAUCAUGAAGAUCCUUUUUACCAUGAGUUGAUAAACACCAUCAUUUGGGACUGGGACAACACUGCUGGACCGAGUGUAGAUGGCAAUGUUCAGGAAGCCAGUGUUCAUCAGGAGGAUCGUAUUUACAUGAAGGAUCUAGAGUCACCACUGGAUAGCUGAGGGGUAGAAAAAAAGGAUCAGCCACUAAUUAAUACCUUUUUUCUUCUAUACUUACACCCAUGAAAUUAUAUCACAAAAAUACUUCAAUGUGUGUCAGAGGUGCUUUCCCUGAUAAGCAGCAGCUUAGAUGCAUGGCGGACUAUCAGAGGGUUUUGAAUGGAAUAUUAUGAAAUCGAAUGUCAACACCUGCAUGGUUGCCCCAUUUGAAAAGACUAGCCCAGUUUAGGAGCCCUGAUUAAAAUUGCAUGUCAGCCACCGUGUGAUGUAACUUUGUAAGGCCAUUUUGGUUAUUGUGGGAUGGCUGUAGGGUUCUCUUGGAGGUAAAAGAGUUAAUGGUAGUUCAUGGCCUCCUUUUUCUUUUUCUUUUUUGCUGGCUGUGAGGAAUUUGUAACUGUAUGGGCAGAAUAUUUCUCAGAAGUCUCGCAGGUGCAUUUUUCUUCAACAGGGCUUGCUUUUUUUUAAAAAAUUUUUUAAUUUAGCGGUCCUAACCUUCAUGGGGAAGAACACAUACUGUACAGAGCUACUCCAGUGGAAAGGACAGGUCAGAGAUCAAAUCUCUACAGAAAUUAAAAAGAAGGUCCCGGAAACUACCAAGCUCUGAGUACGGUUGCCGCAGACGGAUUUUCCGGCGACUGCAAUUGCUACAUGUUUUGCACUGGUUAGUGAUCUGAAGCAUUCGUUCGGGCAUGGUUCUUUUGCAUCUUUCACUUCCAUCUGCUGUGGAUAUAAUCUUUCCGAUUAAAAGCAUGGAACAAGAUUCAACAUUUGAAUGUUGGCCUGCUGUUCCCGGAGUUUGUGAUUAUGGUUUCAAAGUUGUGUUGGAAUAUUCUUGGGAAAAAGAGUGUUAUGAUUGUAUCAUGUACAACUUACCGUUUAUCUUCUGUAGUGAUUUUUUUUUUUUUCUUUUUCGUUGCAACUUAUAAAGUAUAAAGCAAAUUGGUGGUAGAGAUCUUUGAUCAACCUUUGCAUCAAUUCAGUAUUGUGUAUCCUGUACGUGUUGGUGAACUUUUGUGUAUCCUGUAUUGUGUUGGUCGAUUGGCUCUGCAUUCGGCUCAGAUGAAAACAUCAACAUGUUUCUAUACAUAA
Carya illinoinensis is the source of this 2582-nucleotide RNA transcript. It is a transcript of the gene named NAC domain-containing protein 82-like, with no coding region annotated. NCBI's taxonomy places the organism in Eukaryota, Viridiplantae, Streptophyta, Magnoliopsida, Fagales, Juglandaceae. The record is from RefSeq and is a predicted model, not a curated record. The transcript is spliced from 6 exons.